Long non-coding RNA from Hypanus sabinus (Atlantic stingray), 2065 nucleotides. RefSeq lists it as uncharacterized. The record is from RefSeq and is a predicted model, not a curated record. The transcript has 2 exons. NCBI's taxonomy places the organism in Eukaryota, Metazoa, Chordata, Chondrichthyes, Myliobatiformes, Dasyatidae.
GAGUAACCAAAACAGUAUCAAUGAAAAACAGCUUGACUAGGGCAUUCAGUCAGAAGACAACAAUUUGCAAGUAUAAAUAAUAGCAAUAAAUAUCGAGAACAUGGGAUGAAAUGUCCUUGAAAGUGAGUCCGUUGGUUGUGGGGCCAUUUCGAUGAUGGGGUAAAUGAAGUUGAGUGAAGUUAUUCCCUUUUGUUCAAGAGCCUGAUGGAUGAGAGGUAGUGACUGCUCUUUAGUCCUCAGGCUUGCAAGAAACCACAGCAUUUCAUGGAGAUGUGCUCAGCAGUUGGGAGGGCUUUAUACAUGAUGGACUGGGCCGUAUCCAUGACAUUUUGUAGGACUUUCCGUUCAACUACAAAUAAGAAAAAAAAUUAAAUUAAUAUCUUUAAAAACAUGAAAUUUUUAAAAAAGAUGUUAGUUAAAAGCAAGGUUCUAUGAGUAUGCUCGCAAGACAAUGAAUCUCAUGGUUGUAUUUGGUGACAUAUAUGUACUUAGAUAAUAAAUUUACUUUGAACUUUAAAUAGAUAGGUUUUGAGUUGAUGUUUAGAAGUGUCAGCUGAGUCUGGAUCUCUUAUAGAUUUAGGUAUUGAAUUCCACAGUUUAGCAGCUUUGGCCCUUGCCCAGGGCCUCAAUCAUCCAGAAUAUAAGGAUAUUCAAGCUGGAAGAAACAUCUAAAGGAAAGUCGAUCAAGGUUUUCUACAGAGGCAUUAUUGGUUUUGUGGCUCACUUUGAUACUAGUUUGUGGUUUAGGCCUUUAAGGAUAUCCAGAUCCCAAUUCCAUUCGGUGAUCUUGGGUAGACAAUCUUACAAUGUCUAUAUCUGCUAGCUGUUUCCUCUACACACAUGCGUAUAUCCUGGUUCAGCAAGACCAGGGAGCUGAUCAUUGACUUCAGGAGGAGGAAACCAGAGGUCCAUGAGCCAGUAAUCAUUGGAGGAUCAGAGGUGGAGAGGGCCAGCAUCAUUAAAUUCCUUGGUGUUAUCAUUUCGGAGGACCUGUCCUAGGCCCAGGACAAUUACAAAGAAAUUACAAAGACAAUUACAUGGCAGCACCUCUACUUCCUUAGGAGUUCACGAAGAUUCAGCAUGACAUCUAAAGCUGUGACAAAUUUCUAUAGAUGUGUAGUGUAGAGUGUAUUGACUGGCUGCAUCACAGCCUGGUAUGGAAACACCAAUGCCCUUGAACAGAAUACACUACAAAAAGUGGUGGAUAUGGCCCAGUCCAUCACAGGUAAAGCCGUCUCCACCACUGAGCACAUCUGUAUGUAGUACUGUUGCAGGAAAACAGCAUCAUCUUCAGGGACCCCCACCACCCAGGGCAUGCUCUCUUCUUGCUGCUAGCAUCAGGAAGAAGGUACAGGAGUCUCAGAAUCCACAGUACCAGGUUCAAGAACAAUUACUACCUCCCAACCAUCAUUCUCUUGAACCAGAGCAGAUAACUUCACUCAACUUCACUCACCCCGUCAUUGAAAGGGUUCCCACAGCCAAUGGUUUCACUUUCAAGGUCUCUUCAUCUAUUGUCCUCAAUAUUUAUUGUUUAUUUAUUUAUUGUUAUUAUUUAUUCCUUUUUGUAUUUUCACAGUUGUCUUUUGCGCACUGGUUGAACUCCCAAGAUGGGUGCAGUCUUCCAUUGAAUCUGUAAACACGAGGAAAUAUGCAGGAAUCGACCACCACAGUGAAGCCAGGUAGAAUUUUGCAGGCCUGGGGCAUCCGAACAGCGGAAAGACAAGUCUGAACUGGUCACAGUGAGGCACCCUGAAUCUGAUUGAGUUGACAGAAGACCUGGAGAAAAUCAGUGAUUAGCACUUUUGCCUUAAGCCGGGGGUCGGCAACCCGCGGCUCCGGAGCCGCAUGUGGCUCUUUUACGUCUGUGCUGCGGCUCCCUGUUGCUUUGGGAAAUAAUUGGUUGUGGCGACCCUUUUCCUGGCACAUCCGAACCGACUCACAAUUAGAUAGCCUACGGGGGUUUGCGAGCACAGAGCUUUGGAGCCUCUGCGCCAUGGGGGGCAGGUUGAGGGAGGCUUAAAAGUGAGGCUGAAGAUUUCGAAUAAAGUUUUUUCCUUCGACUGCA